CCUUUCCCCACCUCAACUCCUCAGACCUACAAAAGUAAAAUGAAAGAAUGGAAGUAUAUUCAUCAUUAAGGAGAUCAUCUACGUUCCAGUUAUUUUUUCAGUAGAAAGUUAAAAAAACCUGCCAAUUAGGAUGUCUCCACCUAACACGGACUACCUCAAAAAGCUGAGUCAGUUUUCCUGGAGCGUGUUCUCAUUUGUUUAACUUUGAGCAACAGUGGCCACACCGCUUCCUCAACAGUAGCAGGAAGGAUGAAGGGACAAAAAAGGAUACAACUUCUAAGGACUCUUGUGAAGGCACACCCACCACUUGUCCCAACAUCCCACCAGCCAGAAUUUGGUCACGUGGCUACAUCUAGCUGCAGAGAAGACUGAGAAAUGUAGUCUUUUUCUCCCCCCAUGUUCAUUUGUUCAGCUAAAAAUCAGGCUGCCAGAGAGCACUGAAGAGAGUUCCCUGUGCUAUACAGUAGCUCCUUUCCAGACAACAACUGUCUUGAGAAGAUACACAGAAGGGAAUUCAGGUAUACUAACUUUUGCAAAUAAAUAAAUCCAAGUUAGGGAGAAAUAAAUCCAAGUGAGGCAGAAAUGUGUGGCUUUGAGCAAUGCCAUUCCAGGUAGAUCAGAAAGGUCUGGGUGUAUUAUUCAUGACUGCUGGUCUCAAGAGACAGAAACUCAAUCCUGAGUAGUUUAAGUAAGAAGGCAAUUGUGUUGGCUUGUGUAACCUGGAAAGACAGUGGUGUGGCUGGCCUGAGGCAGGACAUGGUCCAGGGGUGCAAAAGGACAGCAUCAGAUCAGUGGCUCGCUCUCUCCUGUUUCUGCUCCUCUCUGCUGUUGGCCUCAUGAAUUUCCACCACAGGUGCGUGUCCCUCAUGCAGAGCCUGGCAGCUAGGAAGUCCAAGCCCACGUCACCCAGUGUGAGGAUUCCCAAAGCUUCCCUCGUAGCUCAGUUGCUAAAGAAUCUGCCUGCCCUGCAGGAGACCCAGGUUCAAUUCCUGGGUCAGGAAGAUCCUGUGGAGAAGGAAAUGGCAACCCACUCUAGUAUUCUUGCUGGAGAAUUCCAUGGACAGAGGAGACCAGCAGGCUAUAGUCCACAGAGUCACAAAAGUCGGACACGACUUAGUGACGAAACCACUAAAGCAAAAUAACUCUAACUGAGGGUGAAAAAUCCCAGGGAAUGAUCAUAUUAGUCUGGUUGGUGUCAUUUCCCACACCCACCCUGGAAGCAGGUGGGUUAAUGAUCGGCCUGGGCUAGGUCAUGCGCCUGUCCUUGUAACCGAACCCCAGUAGAUCCCAUCAAAGGAGAGGAGGUAGAAAGAGUGGGGAGGGGCAGUGGCUGAAAUGAAUUCGGAGCAGAAAAAAAUUUGCCACUUUUGUUCAGGGAACAAAAUUUGGAACAGGGGCCUUGUUCUUGCCAAGAGUAUUAGGAGCCAAAUUAAGAGAUGGGGCCACGGACUCCCCUGGUAGUCCAGUGGCUAAGCCUCCAUGGGCCCAAA
Non-coding RNA from Odocoileus virginianus texanus, 1490 nucleotides. The record is from RefSeq and is a predicted model, not a curated record. NCBI's taxonomy places the organism in Eukaryota, Metazoa, Chordata, Mammalia, Artiodactyla, Cervidae.